AUGGCCGCCGCCAUCGCUGCCUCGCUUAUCCGCCGCACCACCUCAUCGCCGUACCGCCGCCUUCUCCUCCCCACCUUCUCCCACCUCCACCGCCCUGCCCCCCAACCUCCAUCCCCAUGGCUCCCAUCCCAGCAUCGCUUCCUCUCGUCCGACGCACCCGCCGACCCUGAUCGGAAGCUGCCUCCGCUGGACCCGAAGCAGCUAUGGCGCGAGCUCUCCACCACCGAGCCUGCGACGGGCUCGUCGCGCCUCCCCAAGGCCACGUGGGACGAGGUGGUGGCCCUCACCCGCCGCUUCGCCAAGGAUCCCGCCAUUGCCGACCAGGCCCUCGCGCUCUACAUCCCCUCCUCGGAGUUUCCCACGUAUGCUCGGCACUUCCGCCACUUCAUCCCUGCGCGCCUCUCCCAAGAAUCCGCCGAGCGGCUCCUUUCUCUCCCGGGCGAGGACGCGCACGCCCUCCUCCUCCCGGCCUUCGCCGAGUACUGCCUCAACUACCAUGCGGAUCAGUUGAGGCAGAACAAGUCCGUCAUGGCUGCGGCUGACCUCACGGCGCCGCACACCUGGUACCCCUUCGCCCGCGCCAUGCGCCGGCGGGUGGUGUACCAUUGCGGGCCCACCAACAGCGGCAAGACGCACAACGCACUCGCACGCUUCAGCGCCGCCAAGUCCGGUGUGUACUGCAGCCCGCUCCGGCUCCUCGCCAUGGAGGUGUUCGACAAGGUCAAUGCACUCGGUGUCUACUGCACCCUCCGCACUGGCCAGGAGAUAAAGGAAGUCCCCUUCUCCAACCAUGUUGCUUGCACUAUUGAGAUGCUGUCCACGGAGGAGCUCUACGAAGUCGCCGUGGUUGAUGAGAUACAGAUGAUGGCUGACCCUGUGAGGGGCUAUGCGUGGUCACGUGCUGUUCUUGGGAUCAAGGCAGAUGAGAUACAUCUCUGUGGUGACCCUAGUGUGCUCAAGAUUGUUCGUAAGGUCUGCGCAGAUACUGGUGAUGAUUUGGAGGUGCAUCAGUAUGAGCGGUUCAAGCCACUUGUUGUCGAGGCCAAGCCGCUACUUGGAGACCUCAAGAAUGUUCGCUCUGGUGAUUGCGUUGUUGCCUUCUCACGCAGAGAGAUAUUUGAGGUGAAGCUGGCAAUUGAGAAGUUUACGAAGCACAAGUGUUGCGUCAUAUAUGGAGCUUUGCCACCGGAGACAAGGCGCCAGCAAGCAACAUUGUUCAAUGAACAGGAUAAUGAGUAUGAUGUUCUUGUAGCGAGUGAUGCGGUCGGUAUGGGUCUGAACCUUAACAUUAGGAGGGUUGUGUUCUAUAGCUUGUCCAAGUACAACGGGGACAAGAUGGUACCUGUUGCUGCUUCACAGGUAAAACAGAUAGCUGGGCGUGCUGGUCGGAGGGGAAGUGUUUAUCCAGAUGGACUCACAACCACUUUCUUGUUGGAUGAUUUGGAUUAUUUAAUUCAGUGCCUGCAACAGCCGUUUGAGGAGGCACAAAAAAUUGGUCUUUUUCCUUGCUUCGAACAAGUGGAAAUGUUUGCCAGUCAGUUCCCCAACCUCACUUUCACUGACUUGUUGGAUAAGUUCCGUGACAAUUGCCGCAUCGACAAGACAUACUUCAUGUGCCAGCAGGAUAGUAUCAAGAAGGUUGCUAAUAUGCUCGAGAGGGUACAGGGUCUCUCCCUCAAGGAUCGCUACAAUUUUUGUUUUGCGCCAGUUAAUAUAAGGGAUCCGAAAGCCAUGUACCAUCUUCUGAGAUUUGCUACUCAUUAUAGCCAGAGCCGUCGUGUUAGCAUUGCGAUGGGAAUGCCGAAGGGUUCGGCAAGGAAUGACACUGAACUGCUGGAUCUCGAGACGAAGCACCAGGUCCUGUCGAUGUAUUUGUGGCUGUCACACCAUUUUGAGGAAGAUAACUUUCCUCAUGUGCAGAAAGCUGAGGAAAUGGCAACGAAUAUUGCUGAUUUGCUUGGCAAGUCACUUGCCAAGGCAUCCUGGAAGCCUGAAUCAAGACAACAAGCAAAGCAGAGGCGAGAAGAAAUAGAGGAGAGUGACAGAAAUGCUGAACAGGCGUCAGAUGAUGAUGCAAAGGAUGUUUCCAAAGUUGGUUAUGAAAGGACGAGGUCGCUUCCUAAAACAUUUCAAAGGACAAGACAUGGUCAGCCCAGCCAUAAUUCUUCUUUGAACCUUCUGGCCUGA
RNAcentral lists this ribosomal RNA (2187 nucleotides) under Triticum aestivum (bread wheat). Its description in RNAcentral is "partial small subunit ribosomal RNA". Lineage: Eukaryota; Viridiplantae; Streptophyta; Magnoliopsida; Poales; Poaceae. The record is from RNAcentral.